Molecule: ribosomal RNA, 288 nt
Filed under: uncultured Limnohabitans sp.
Lineage: Bacteria; Pseudomonadati; Pseudomonadota; Betaproteobacteria; Burkholderiales; Comamonadaceae
Description: partial 16S ribosomal RNA
Rfam family: Bacterial small subunit ribosomal RNA
Source: RNAcentral
CGCUGAGUUUGAUCCUGGCUCAGAUUGAACGCUGGCGGAAUGCUUUACACAUGCAAGUCGAACGGUAGAGGGGGCAACCCCUUGAGAGUGGCGAACGGGUGAGUAAUAUAUCGGAACGUGCCCAGUCGUGGGGGAUAACGUAGUGACAAUUACGGCUAAUACCGCAUACGAUCUAAGGAUGAAAGCGGGGGAUCGCAAGACCUCGGCGCGAUUGGAGCGGCCGAUAUCAGAUUAGGUAGUUGGUGGGGUAAAGGCCCACCGAAGCCUGCGAUCUGUAGCUGGUCUGAG